Homo sapiens (human) is the source of this 148-nucleotide non-coding RNA. It matches the Rfam family "Metazoan signal recognition particle RNA". From Rfam's summary of the family: The signal recognition particle (SRP) is a universally conserved ribonucleoprotein. It is involved in the co-translational targeting of proteins to membranes. NCBI's taxonomy places the organism in Eukaryota, Metazoa, Chordata, Mammalia, Primates, Hominidae. The record is from Rfam.
GCCAGGUGUGGUGGUGCACACCUGUAAUCCCAGCUACUUGGGAGGCUGAGACAGAAGACUCGCUUGAACCCGGGAGGCAGAGAUUGCAAUGAGCCAAGAUCAUGCCACUGCACUCCAGCCUGGGUGACAGAGUGAGACCCUGUCUCCA